This 501-nucleotide ribosomal RNA is filed under the name uncultured bacterium. RNAcentral's name for it is "partial 16S ribosomal RNA". It matches the Rfam family "Bacterial small subunit ribosomal RNA", at positions 29 to 523 of the family's 1533-position model. The record is from RNAcentral.
AGUGAACGCUGGCGGUAGGCCUAACACGUGCAAGUCGAACGGCAGCACAGAGGAGCUUGCUCCUUGGGUGGCGAGUGGCGGACGGGUGAGGAGCACAUCGGAAUCUACUCUGUCGUGGGGGAUAACCAAGGGAAACUUUGGCUAAUACCGCAUAAUCUCGAGAGAGCAAAGCUGCCCGCAAGGGUGGCACUUGAGGAGGAGCCUGCGUCCGAUUAGCUAGUUGGUGGGGUAAUGGCCUACCAAGGCGAUGAUCGGUAACUGGUCUGAUAGGACGACCAGUCACACUGGGACUGAGACACGGCCCAGACUCCUACGGGGGGCAGCAGUGGGGAGUAUUAGACAAUGGGGGCAACCCUGAUCCAGCGAUGCCGCGUGAGUGAAGAAGGCCUUCGGGUCGUAAGCUCUUUAGGUUGGGAAGAAGGGUAUUGGCUGAAUAAUCCAGUACUUUGACGGUACCGACAGAAUAAGCACCGGCAAACUCUGUGCCAGCCGCCGCAGUAA